Molecule: ribosomal RNA, 466 nt
Filed under: uncultured bacterium
Lineage: Bacteria
Description: partial 16S ribosomal RNA
Rfam family: Bacterial small subunit ribosomal RNA
Source: RNAcentral
GACGAACGCUGGCGGCGUGCUUAAUACAUGCAAGUCGAGCGGGUGUAGCAAUACAUCAGCGGCGGACGGGUGAGUAACGCGUGGGCAAUCUGCCCUCUAGCCUGGGAUAACAGUUCGAAAGGACUGCUAACACCGGAUAUGCUCCCAGCCUGGCAUCAGGCAGAGAGGAAAGUUGACACUAGAGGAUGAGCCCGCGUCCCAUUAGCUAGUUGGUGAGGUAACGGCCCACCAAGGCGACGAUGGGUAGCCGACCUGAGAGGGUGAACGGCCACACUGGGACUGAGACACGGCCCAGACUCCUACGGGAGGCAGCAGUAGGGAAUUUUCCGCAAUGGACGAAGGUCUGACGGAGCAACGCCGCGUGAGGGAUGAAGGUUUUCGGAUCGUAAACCUCUGUCUUCAGGGACGAUAAUGACGGUACCUGAGGAGGAAGCCACGGCUAACUACGUGCCAGCCGCCGCAGUAA